RNAcentral lists this ribosomal RNA (459 nucleotides) under Tetanocera plebeja. RNAcentral's name for it is "partial 16S ribosomal RNA". It matches the Rfam family "Bacterial large subunit ribosomal RNA", at positions 1830 to 2575 of the family's 2925-position model. The record is from RNAcentral. Lineage: Eukaryota; Metazoa; Arthropoda; Insecta; Diptera; Sciomyzidae.
GUCCUUUUGAUUUUAUUUAAGGUCUAACCUGCCCACUGUGUAUAAAUGGCCGCAGUACUCUAACUGUGCAAAGGUAGCAUAAUAAUUAGUCUUUUAAUUGAAGGCUGGAAUGAAUGGUUGGACGAGGUAUAAGCUGUUUCAUUUAAAUUUAUUAUAGAAUUUUAUUUUUCAGUAAAAAAGCUGAAAUUUAUUUAAAAGACGAGAAGACCCUAUAAAUCUUUACAUUUUAUUUAAGUCUCUUUAGUAGAAAAAGUUUGGCGGCUUAAAGAAGGUGUUUUAUUGGGGUGAUAUUAAAAUUUAUUGAACUUUUAAUUUUUUAUACAUUAAUUUAUGGCUUUAUGAUCCGUUUAAACGAUUAAUAAAAUAAGAUACUUUAGGGAUAACAGCGUAAUUUUUUUGGAGAGUUCUUAUCGAUAAAAAAGAUUGCGACCUCGAUGUUGGAUUAAGGAAUAAAUUUAG